RNAcentral lists this transfer RNA (91 nucleotides) under Aeromonas hydrophila. RNAcentral's name for it is "tRNA-Ser". Lineage: Bacteria; Pseudomonadati; Pseudomonadota; Gammaproteobacteria; Aeromonadales; Aeromonadaceae. The record is from RNAcentral.
CUGGCGGGUGGCUGGUGGCUGAGCGGCCGCUUGCUGCGCGGCAUCAGCUUCCCGCGCUGGUACUGGCGGCCCGCCUUCGCCCUGCUGAUCC